Molecule: long non-coding RNA, 232 nt
Filed under: Gossypium raimondii (Peruvian cotton)
Lineage: Eukaryota; Viridiplantae; Streptophyta; Magnoliopsida; Malvales; Malvaceae
Description: long non-coding RNA (GRAI_LNC006151)
Source: RNAcentral
ACCGUCCGGGCAUCUACCGGUCAUCGGCCACCGCGCCGGCCGCCGAUCUCCGUCACCGGCACCGCCGUCUGCGGUGGCCGGAAAAGGAGAAAAUCCCCUAUUUGGCCUUUUAGACUCCCCUAAGCCCAAAUCUAGGUUCAAAUCCCUCAAAAUAUCAACAAAAAUGCCCCAAAAGCCCGAGAAACCCUUCAGCUUCCGGUCGUCUGUCAUCGGAGAUGACACCCUCGGCCAU